AUUUAGCAACCACUCAAAAGAAAAUUUUCUCAAAAUCGUUGCCAUUGAAAAAAUAAAAUUAGUAUAUUGCAAUGCCAAAUAAAUCGUUACAAUAGAAUCAAAAUUUCGUUAAAAUUUUUGGAAAGAGUAUAAAAAGAACGGUUUAUAGCAAUAUUACUAGAGAGCGUUGCCAUAGAUGAUAUUUUUUGGGCCAAAUAAUUGGCGGGCCAUUUAAAAUAUGAGGGCGGGAUGUAUGAAAUGUUUUUCUGUCCUUUAUCAAAAUUAAGAAAAUAAAAAACACUCACAAACACUCUCUCAAUCUCACCUCACAAACACUCUGACCGGCGAAAACAAGACGAGAGAGAGAGAGUGCGAUAGAGAGAGAUGGCGAUAGAGAGACAGGAAGAAGAAAAGAGAGAAGAAGAUCAGAGAGGGUGGAGAAGCACGCCAUAUUCCACUUCUUUCCCCAAUAGGUGUAAGUAUGUAAGGGUUUUUAUGUGUGUUUAAUUGGUUUGGUAUACGUGUUUAAUUGAGUUUGUAAAAAUUUUUAAUUGAUUUUUUGUUGUUAAUUUGGUCUUAUACUUGUUAAUUAAUUAAGGAUUUAUGUUCUUAAUUAGGUAUUAGAUUUGUUUAACUUAGGGUUCAUAGUUUAGUUUAUGGGUUGUGUUCAUUUGUUAAUUUAGGGAUUAAAUUAAGAGUUCUUGUGUUGAUGUGCUCUGUUCAUCAUGUCUUAUAAUUGUAAGUCGCUGCUAGUAAUGAUGCUACAUCGGAAAAGAUUGAUUGCUGAGUACUAAAUCAAGACUUGGUUCAACGCCAGCCUGCUCACAAAACCAGAAGGAAUGGAUGAAAUGAACACAAGAAAAGCCGAUAAUAAUGUCAAGAAAGAGGAAUUGAAGUCUAAUACUUUAGAGGAAUGUGGUCUGAGUUUCCAGAAGACUACUCACUUGAAACAACACAUGCAAAGCCAUUUAGUUGAGGUGCCGAAGACAAUCUACCAAAUUGUUUUUGAAGGACUUGCUCUGCACCAGCUUUCAAUAAUCUAAUUAGGUGCUUUGCUGGUUUCUGCAGAAGCCUCAACAGAUGGACCUGUUGGAAUAAUCGAUGAUGAUGGGCUAGAUAUGACAAGUCUUUUGUUACUGAUUUUUUGUUGAUAAAAAAUUUGUUGUAAUAAUAUAUUAGGGUAUUUUAUUUAAAUUCCUAGAUUGAGGAAUGUUUGUACUAAUGUCAGUAACAAUAAUAAUGCUCUUGGUUGUUGUUGUAUAGGCAUGGUUAGAUUUGUGGUAGGUAACGUUCUUAGUUUUGUUUUUGGGAUGUUCUUGGAAUGACCCUUUAAUGGUGGAUUAAUAUAUUUAUGAAAUGGUCAUGUCAAUUUUUAUUAUUCA
Long non-coding RNA from Daucus carota subsp. sativus, 1361 nucleotides. RefSeq lists it as uncharacterized. NCBI's taxonomy places the organism in Eukaryota, Viridiplantae, Streptophyta, Magnoliopsida, Apiales, Apiaceae. The record is from RefSeq and is a predicted model, not a curated record. The transcript has 3 exons.